Molecule: small RNA, 17 nt
Filed under: Arabidopsis thaliana (thale cress)
Lineage: Eukaryota; Viridiplantae; Streptophyta; Magnoliopsida; Brassicales; Brassicaceae
Description: ATSL301540
Source: RNAcentral
GUUUCUGUUUCUGUUUU